UACAGAGGUCUCAAGCGUUGUUCGGAUUCAUUGGGCGUAAAGGGUGCGUAGGUGGCGCGCUAAGUCAGGUGUGAAAUCUCGGGGCUUAACUCCGAAACUGCAUUUGAUACUGGCGUGCUUGAGGACUGGAGAGGAGACUGGAAUUCAUGGUGUAGCAGUGAAAUGCGUAGAGAUCAUGAGGAAGACCAGUGGCGAAGGCGGGUCUCUGGACAGUUCCUGACACUGAGGCACGAAAGCUAGGGGAGCAAACAGG
This 253-nucleotide ribosomal RNA is filed under the name uncultured bacterium. RNAcentral describes it as "partial 16S ribosomal RNA". It matches the Rfam family "Bacterial small subunit ribosomal RNA", at positions 524 to 776 of the family's 1533-position model. The record is from RNAcentral.